CGAUCGAAAAGUAGUCGUUUUUUGUUAUUUUCCUUGAACCUAUCUACGUGACUUUACCGAAAGACCCAAAGAAUAUGAAUUCCUGCAGUCGCGAAAGCUUUAAGGUUCAUUAAACAAUUGGAGAUAUCUUCCGGAUGGACACAGCUGGAAAACAAAGCGGAAAACGUUUACUGAGGAUAGCCCCUGAAAGCAGAUCAGAAACAAAAUGAUAAAAUAAGAGAGGUGGGAGAGAGCAUGUCGGAGUGCUUUUAGAAAACUGAAUUUGAUGCUAAAUAGCAAAGCACCCGUUUACCAAAACACUAGUUUCCCUUCCACCGCACCUCCGAUUGGUGCGCUUGGCUACGUACGGUGCGAAAGAAGUUCAACAUACAUCCAUCCAUACAAAGUUUUGCAUCGGUGUGUACUGCCUGCUAAGACUUAUUUAUCAUAAACAUGGAUAUUCAUUCAGAAAAUCUGGUGGGGGGGGGGGGGAACCUGAACAGUGUGCUAAGUAUAUGUAAAAAAAUACCUACCUUGAAUACAACUUACCUGUGGAUUGAACAUAGCUGAUAAUGAUGAUGAAGAAUAUAACAUGUUAAAUUAAAAUAAAGUUCCCUUUCAUCCCUCACGUUUGAAUGUCUCUGUACACGAGUGACAUUCAUGAUGCUAAUGCGCGUGUAUACGCCCACUGUGCACCAGAUUUUUUUGGCGGAAUAUAAUAGGUCAUGGGUGUUUCUGAGCUGCUCAGCCAAAAUGCAACCAUAUCCACAUUCCUCAGUGCACGACAACGCUGUAUCAUGUUGGUGGGAUAACUGAUCGGAGGAUAUUUGAGUUUUAUAUAUUGGCCACUCAAAAUAUAUUUGUAUUGCUUUUAGCAACGUUUUCCUUCACUUAAUCGGCCACCUGUGUUUUCCGCCAAUGGAGGCGUGUGUAAUGUGGCAAAAGUAGCACGUUAGAGCUCCUAUAAUUGUAGUUUCUGUAAGAGCAUGUUUAAACACGCUUACUUCAAUACCAUGCUUGCAGCAAAUGUGUAUGGGCACUUCCCAAGUACAUUUUUUUCCUGCAGAUCCGUGUUUGUGUGCGUUGUCUGUAUGCUCAAGCAGGUAUAGUGUGUGUGUGCUUGCACAUACACGUAGGUAAGCUCAACAUAUCUCUUCUUGUACAUGACUGCAGGGAUACUGCGCCAAUAUUUCUGUUACCGACCUGCCCAUCGCUUGCUAUAACAUUAUCCUGUUGAUAGUCUUAUAGGGAUGAAUAAUAUACUUUCGUUAUACAGGUACAUUUUUUUGUGAGUGGGUUAAAAAAAAGGAACAAUUGUGCAAAGUAUUUAAAAAUAACACCGGCUGUCAGUACUUUUAUGUAAUGAAAUAGUCUUUAGCAAUUCAGGGACUAAUACAGCGCUGUAAGCUUCAUCCAAAAUGUAUAUUUCAUAUGGUACUGGAGAUGUUUGAAGUACUAUAUACAAGAUGGUUUAAAAUGUUCUAAAAAAAACAGAAAUAGAGUAUAGCGUCGUGCUAAAUGUUGGGACGGUUCAGUACAAAUAUCAAUAGACCGUUCUGUCCUAAAAAUGUAUUGUUCAGCACAAUCCCAAUAUAAUUACACAUCGCUGAACAUUACAGCUGACCCAUCCAAUAUGGAGGGAAUGGCUAUUAAAAGUUAAAAUAACCAAAACCCAAAAUAUGUAUGCCUAACUGCACACAACCCACUCCCAUUUAUGCACUACCAAUUAAGAAAUUGCUUGAGCCGUGCAAAUGCUGUAUUCUGAGUAUAUAAAGCUUUUAAUGUAGUCAUAAUCUGAUUGACUGGUCUGCAUGCUUUAUCCGAAUAUAUGAAUAACCAUCACGCAUCAACACACGUGCAUUGCUGAGUUGCCAAAAGCUCCAUGCAGCAAGCUAACGUAUCUGCCGUUGUCCUUAGCACGUUCCUUUGGUCAUCCUUGAACUGUGAUGUACUGAAAGCAUAAAAUAAUUUUUCAAUGGUGUGGAAUUCUCCAAUGCUUUCUAUCAUAUAAAGCAGUCUUUGUGCUGGGAAUUUGGCAGAGUUGAAGAAAAUGUAGGCACUGCUUGUUUUCAUCACUUUGUGUCCUGCUCGUACAGUGUCUGAAAAAUGGGCGAGUUUUUUUGUUUAAGUUAAGGUGAAUAUUUUAAAGGACGAGAGACCAAGGGGCACAUUUCCGAGUAGUCAUCUUAUCUUAACCGAAUUUAUAUAGCGCCUUAAGCAAGGCGCUUUACAAAGAAUUAACAACGGUACUACAUAUGAAUGUAAUGGUGGAGGUGAGGUGAAUGAAAUAGAUGAGAGGAAGCAAUGGGGGGGGGGGCAAAUUUGUGUUGCGUGCAUUCGGUGAAAGUGAAAUUGAUGACAGUAGAUGAUGAUGAAUGGAUUGAAUGCAUGAGGAACGAGUGAGAAUAUGAAGAGGGAACAGUAACGGAGGUGGUUUAUGAGGGGAAGAUUAAGGGGUCGUGGGGUGAGCUCGUGGACAAUAAGUGAGUUUUGAGUGCGAAGCGGAAACUAGUGAGCGAAGGUGACUGCUUAAUUUGGAGGGGGAAGUUUGUUCCAGUGAAAGGGGGGGGGAGAAGAGACAGAACGAAAGCGUGGAUUGAGUACAAGGAGGAGGAGGAACAGAGAUAGACUUUAAGGGAUGUGCAUAAGCACACACCUCUUAUUUUUAAUGACGUGUGGUUUGAAUUUUGGAAAGGUCUGUGCCUCCACGAGCUUGUGCCAAGGACCAAAGCUGUUGAAUGACUCCUUUGUGUGUAGGCCGCAUGCUCAUCUGGGGAUUACCAAAGAUUUCUGGCAACUUACCAAGGGCCUGCCUCGGUCCAUAUUAUUCUUCCUGAAUAGGCUUGAUUCCUGCGGCCCUAGCCUACAUCUUGUUUACACGCACCCUUCAAGCCAUGAACCUUUAUCUUUUGUAAUAUUUUGAGAGUUGGUCGAAUUAUUGAAGUGACAAAUUACUAAUAUUUCGUAAUUUUUUGCUAAACUUUUGAAUUGAGUUUUUUCAUUGUUUAAAGUGUUCAUCAUAGUUGCAUGGGAUAUUGGAAUUCUUGCUAUUAUUUGUCAGCACUUAACGAACGCUAUUGUUCAGUGAUGCAGUCAUGAAUGCGCAGCCACAGGGUAGAGAGUAAAAUACAGCAAUAAGUGUAAACUGUGUAUUGUAUAGAUGGUUGUGUUUAAGAGUGGUUUGUAAACCUGUGUUGUACAACAUAUCUUAUACAUCUACGGUAUUAAAUGUGUAUGCUUGGUUACCACAAUACGUGCCUUUUGUUGUAUUGCGAUGGUAUUGCUUAUUUGAUAUGCAAGAAAACAACAUUCUUUUUGGUUUCGGUAGGUUACAAUAACUGCACAAUGUGUACUGUCUCGGUUAAAAAAAGCAUUCCUCUUGGAAAAUGUCUCGCUUGCUUAUGGUUAUGUAGCACGGAUUAACUUGGGAUGUUGCAGUGAAGGGUUUCUAUUUAGGUCAUGGGUCUUAUAUUUAUUUUGAGUACAAUUAGCAAAUUGAAAUGCUGAAAUGUUCUUAAAAUCUAAUAUUGUAUUCAUGUUCGUUAAGUGCAUCAUAUGUGCAUGGUGCGUGAAAGCAACACUGAAUAAAACAUGAGCACAACACACUUUGUAGUAAAUAACCAUUGCACACCGGUCAAUAUGUGCCUUUGAACUUAAAUUAAAGAAGGUUAGCAGUGGUAUUAUUUAAUAUUUUAAGCUUUCUAAAACCAAUUAAAAUUAUAUUUUCUUCUCUGUAGAAUGGUGCCUUGAAAUCAGUCCCAAAGUUGGGAUUUUAUUUUUGUGUUUGCCAAGAAUUAGUACGGUAGUUGGAGUAGAGCUCCUGUAGUCUGGUAAUUCUCGACCAAAGUUUGUAUUUUAUAAAACGCGAACCUGAAAAGCAAAUCACUCGUGGUUAAAUGUAUGGUAAAUUUGAUCAAAUUAGGUCACAUUGAAUAAGAUCUGUAAAAACACUUUGUUGAUUAUAAUGGGUAUAAGUCUAUAAUUAAGGACAUGCGGGAGCUGUAGAGCAGGGAUGUAUAAUGAAAAAACCAUCAUGGAAUAAUAUACAUAUAUAAAAUAAACACAUCUAAUAUACUGUACAAGUAUGCAUUUAAUGCAAUAUAAUAAGCUGUGUUUAAAUUUUGUCCAUCGGGGUAGUGUCCUCUACAAUCUAUUUCAACAUUUUUCAAGUUGACUGUAUAUAUCACCAUGUUUGUUUUCUAGUUGAACGAUAGACCUCCCCCAAACGAGCACAUUAAUUCAGCAGUUCCUCAGAUUGUUUAAAUUACACAACACUGUGCGGUUAGAUUCAGCUGCUUUUAUGGUUUACGGUGAUGGCUCAUUUAUAAGCAUAUUGACGAAGGCAACGAAAGGCGCUGAAAUGGUCACAAAUAAACCUUUGGAGAGAUGGACACAUGCUUAGAAUGACAGUACACUGAGUGGCAAAAUAUAGGAACGCAUGGAUUACAUUUACCCCCUCCAUUUAAGACUGAAACGGGAGGAUUUUUUUGACAGUUGUGGCUGUCGCCUGAUGAGGCUGGUUGUAUUUGCUGGCGAAACGUCGUGCCCGAAUUGUAAAUGACGUGGGUUUACCCUCCAAAACAUUGGUCGGCUGAACUGGUAACUAAUUGGCAUGUGUUUUGUUUACGUGACAAACCUUACGAAUUGGCUGUGUCGCGUGGUGGGGGGUUUAAUUGCACAUUUAUAUGCGAUCUAACCUAAAAAAAACUCUUGUGGAUAACUUAUGUGGCUGAAAAUCAUAAUUUUUACUUAAGAAAAGCCAGUGUGCUUGGGGAGGAUGAUGGCCAGUGGCCGAGACUCAUGACGGCCAAGUGAGAGAACAUCACCGAGCAGACAUCCACCGAAGAGAUUAAGCAAUGACAUCGGUUCGUGUGUGGGUAAUAGGUGGAUUGUAACAUUGCAGGACAGCGAGAGGUGGCAAUUGGCUUGGGGAGCACUUCAACCAGCAGUGGAUUGAUCAUGGCUGAUGAGGAUGAUGUUGAUUAUUAUUGAUUCCUAUAUACAAUUGACAUUGUUGGAGAAAUACCUUUGCAAUGUAAUGCUAUUUGAGACCAAAUUGGUGGGGUCAGGUGUGAUGCAGUGGUUAGCCCACUGCACUCUGAACCCAGCUACCUGCAUCUAAUUCUCAGCCCUUGCGAAUAUUGGUUGCGAGUGAUAUCCAAACUAGUCCUGGGUGUUUCAUUUACCAAUCCGUAGUGACCUGUGUUUUAAAUUAGGGUUAAAGAGCCUCCAUGAUUUAUGUGGCAUGGGCAGACCUUCAUCGAGCAGUGAGAGUGUCACAUCAAUGUACUGAAUAUAUAAUAUAUUAUUGCUGAUAUACGUGAUGUCUCCGUAGUGAAGCAUCAUAAUUCACAAUAUAACCUCAUGUCUGCUUUGCUUACGUAUUAAAAUAUAAUUUAUAAUUAGUCUGUCCCUUGGGCUGGCAUUGUUGACAUCUGUGUUAGAGAGUACAGUAACACUGCGAUCUAUACAUAGUAUGUUUUACAUACACUCUAUCCCAGUUUAAAAUUGUGAAUGAAUGUUCAAACGAGUGACAAUUAUGUAAAACACUGAGCCUACACUAAAGUCAUUGACAUGUUAUUUGUGCUUACAUUAUUUUGGAUGUAGUGGGGUUUUUUUCCCUCCCACGGACAACUAUGGUACAAUAUUGUAGCUGUAAAAAUAUCAAUAAACAGUACUGCAUUGAUGAUUUUUUUACUUUGGUUUCUCGGCAUUAAAACGAUAAAGACACCGAUAAGCUCAGAGUAUAUAUUUAUUUCCCGGGAUUGUAGCACAAAAUAAAGCAAGGCAUUUGCUUUCCUGGGAAAUUUAGGGGUUUAAAAAUGCGAGUAGUUCAAGUCACAAUGCCGCAGUGGAUGCUGGGAUGUUGUCACAACGUUUGCGUGAAAAGGAGUCGCUUUGCUACAUUGCAAAACGAUAACACAUUUCAAACACUAUUGUGUUUCCCUCCUACACAAGAGAGACCGCCUACCACUUGUGUAGGCGUGUUGACACACGGGAUGGCACAAUACUGUACGAUUAUAAUGUUUAUUUAGACUGGAGGAGGAAUCCGAUGAGCUAUGAAGCUCUUUUUCACAGAUGCCCAUAGGGGCGAGUCAGUAAGUCACGAUACAUGCAGCACAAUGUAGUUUUACCAAAGUAAAAAAAACUCAUUUGCCGUAGUGCCACAUAAAUUUACCGUAAUAAAAAAAUGUACAGCCCUUAGUGAAUUCACUUCCGGUUUAAGAGGCCUACCCACGUUUGAUAAAGGCGGGUUGUUUGACCAUACUUCACCAUUCCGAAUUGAGGGUAAGCGUAGAAAUUUUAUUUUAGCUGAUCAUUAGGACUCAGAGGUAAAGUGGCAUCGGUGGUAUUGUUCAAAUAAAAAGGGGCUGUUACUUUAUACAGUGCAUUUUAUUUAAACGUAGUGUUCCCGUUAGCAUUUUCAUCGCAGCAAGUGACCUCCAAUAUGCAUCACAUUCCUAUUAAUAUUUAAUCAUGUACAAUGUUACACUUAAGAGUAAUGCAGUUUGUAUAGCCUACGGAUAUAUAAAGACCGAAGCUGCACUAAAAAUAAUACUGCCGGCUCAAUGUAAAAGCCAUAAAAUCCACCACCAGUGGCAAAGUUCAGAAAGUUGACAUCCCCUUCGGAUGAAAACACAUACACUUGAGAUAAGAAACAGUGUGCCCAUCGGACAUCCUGAUAAAAGUACACACCUUUUAAAGGAGUAAUUGUCCUCAAGGCUAUCCAGAGUGACUAAAAGCCUACAAUUUGUAAAAUGUGCAAUUGCCUAAAAAAAGCUUCGGACAGAACGGUGUUAAGGUAAUGUAUUGGCGCUGUACCUAAAAUAUCAGUUUCUAUCAGGAACGAGCUCUCCUUGCUAUCGCAGUGAGACACGGUGCCGAGACACGGUGCCGAUCGCCGAUACAACCCCGAAGAGUUGGGGGGGGGGAGAUAAUUUUGUGGCAAAAACCUGGCCUCCUGUCAACGGAAUGUGUCAACUAACCCCCCCCCCCCCCCAUUAAAGACCUAAAGUUGGAACACGCCGUUAUUGACUUCGGGGGGGGGGGGGGGGGGGUUACGUGGUCACCGCAGUUGGCAAACCCACGCAUGUGACACGGCGACGGAGGAAGAACGAGUUCAUCAGUCGGCGGAUUUGUACCGAGUAUCCUACACGGCGUUGGUGUUUUCUCUCUGUACGAGACCACCGAGCGAAAAGCCGCUCUCUCGCCCGCUGCGCGCGCACGUACGCGCGCACACCUCGCAGGCCCCCGCACACUUCCUGAAAUAGAAAUUAUUAAUUGCGGGCUGUCACACGACACCCACUCCUGACAUGCCUUCUUCCGAUCGCCAUGGCGACGCCGGGGUUAGAGCGUUGUGCAGUGUUCCUGGCAGCAAACCUCCCCCCCCCACCCAAUCCCCUUCUUUCUUUCUCUCUUCCUCCCCGGGCUAAUUGACCACAUCAGGCAGCUGCUAUCAAGUGUACCGCGCACUUCUGGUAAAGGUCUGCGUUUCUGUUCUGGGAACCGCAUUUUAUUUGCGGUGCUCCUGGGAGCAUUCCAAAUUUUUUUUGUGAGUCCUGGGUAUGCAGUGACUAAUGCGCCGUGAAAGGCAUGGAUCGUGAGAUAUAAAAAGUAAGUCACGUAAAGGGAAAUUAUUUUAAGAAAUCAAUCGAUUAAUUUAUUUAUCGCGAAAUGACAAGACCAAACAUUCUUACGUGAUGUCGUAAUCACUUUAACCUAGGUUUGCUUAAGGAUUGUACUUUAUGAUGUAUUUUGUGUACAAAUGCAAUGACAUCAAAUGUAACGCGUGGUAUUACUGUUCAGGGAGUAGGAGGUUGUCAUAUUAGUCGGCCUGUUCUAUGAAUGGUGUAUUCCAAAAUGAGAUCCAAGCUGAAACGCUUGGCUGUCACAGUUGUUGUUUCUCUCAGCCUCUCAUCCGUGAGCAACAGCUUGCGUCAGCUGAGGACAGGCUCGCAUUCCCAGGCAGUGAUGUGUUUAAUAAUAAACUAAAUGUUUUAAAUAGGCCAUCCGUACAUCAGAAAUGUAAAAAGUUGUCUUCUUUUUUCAAUUUUUUUUUCUAAGAACAUCUUAAACCUAUAAAGACUUCACUUUUUCAAUGGUGAGUCUCUAUUUUUCCCAAACUAUUUACCUCUUUCCUAAUACAUGCUGCAAUCGGUAUAAUAAAAUAUCAGUUAACAUUGUUUUGCGUUCUGGAUGAAAUGAUACAUACAUGUAGUGGUCAUAUCCCCAUACUUUAGAAUGCCAAAGAUAUCCCAUUAAAUUAAAUGAUUUUUGUGUCAUAAUUUCGUCAUCAUUUUCCUCGGCAACAUUUACUUCUUGACAUUUAGGUGUUGACAUUUUUGCGAGUAAUGUCAAGCAAUAUGGACGUACUCUUCACAUCCCCCAUGGUUCACAUUUCUUCGUACAUACUCAAGCCAGUGGGCAUGUUUGGAUAGGAGAAAGUAUAUGAGGCUUUUUAUGUUUUGUUGUAACCUUUGCAGUGGCAGGUUACAAAUUAUGGCAAAAAGGGGCUGCUCACCCUCAAAUGACAAAUUUAGUGAUCUAUGGGUUUUUUUUAAAAUGAGAAAUUCCUUCAAAUAGAGUGAAUUCUUAUUAUAAAACUGUGCGAAAGGUGUGAGUUGAAUUAAGUGAACAUUACCCAAUGGAAUGGUAGCUGUACCUGUGUGUCACACAGGUUUUUAGAUGAUUUGAAAGUAAUAUCGUAAUAUUGUUUUCAUAUAAAAGUCCAGUCGUGGUGUCAAACAUUCAAGCUCGGCUUAUAUAUCGGUGCAUCAAUUAAAAUUGAUUCUUAGAUGUGUCAAAUCGUGCGUGUAGGAAUAUAGUACGGUAUUUUAUUAGAUUUGUGUCAAAAAUAUUACAAUUAUUUAGAAGCUACAUGAUCAAUCCACAGCUUGGUGAAGUUCUCCCACACACUAAAUCGGGCCUCGGGUUUUUUUGACCAUCACAGCUUUAAAGCUAUUUUUCACAGAUGUCCAGUCGACCAUGCCGUUCAGAUCCGGUUGGUGAAGUGGGCAGAGGUCCAGGACUGGCUAAAAUAUCACCUGCCACUUAUAUCAGCUGUGGACGAGGAUCGAACUCAGAUCGCCAGGUUGACAGCACGGUGUCCUCAUCACUGGGCCACAAUACUGUGUAUUAAUUGGUUUACGUAAGCCCAUGCAGUGACUUAUAAAAUGUAAUGCACGUCUUGAAUUGUUUUGUAACCUAACAUCGUGACAAUUAAAUCAAGAGGGUGGGAGGGAAAUUAGAACAUGCUUAGUAGAAAUACUGAACUCACCAGAAUAAUGUGCCCGAUCUCAUCAGAUCUUGAAAGCUAAGCAGGUUUGAGCUUGAAUCAGGUUGGGGAUUGGCUUCCACCAUGCAUAAAAACAGGUGUUACAGGCUGAUGUGGGGUUACUUUAUGGGUCAUAGAGGGCGAUACAAUAACAUUAAUUGUUAAGAUAAUUGCUAACACCAACCUGCACUGACCAACACGGUGAAGUAUGGUCACCGACCAGCGUGGUGAAGUAUGGUCAGAUAAAUCAGGGAUACCGGGAUGAAAUAUCCCAAUAUCCCCGAUUCGCCGAAUUUCCCUGCAGGACAUUGUGUAUGAGCAAGGCAUGAGAUAGCAGCUGUGGCGCACGAGCUUGAAACGUAAUACCCAUUUAAAACGGUGCUGAUGUAAUGUUGUUGAUUACCUUGUUCAAUCAGCAGUAUAGAAUCUCUUUGUUAAGGCAAUUCGCAAGGCCAUAUGGAAAAUGAAAAUUGAAGAUAUCUUUGCACUUUACAGUCCCCCCUGAAGGUUAUUGAUUUAUGUCAGUGUCUUUUUCCAUGCAAAUAAGACUCCGCAUUCUUCAUAUUUAUUUCGACUGUGCUUUGUUAUUAUUUAUUUAGUUUGAAUAAUGGAAAUACAUGUAAUGCGAUUUUGUAAAUGCGGAUAUUUUGAGGACAGCAACUGGAUGGUUUAAAGGUCCUCUAAUAAACAUGAGAGUAGAUCUACUUUGUGAGCGUUUUUUAAACGAAGCCAUUAUACGCCUUAUUAAAAUAAUGUAUUCAGAUUCAUUGAGCCAAACCUUAGGAAUUGUAUUAAUCACUCAACGAUGACAUUCUAUUGUGCUAUUAGAAUCUUUGUAUCUACCUUUAUUUUACUGCUGCUUGAGAACUGAGCUAUUCAUUCGAUUUCAUUUAUUUAUAUUGUGUUCUCAUUACACCAUACUGAAGUCAUUUAGUACAUGCCAUGCCUGCACACGUCCAGAUGAAUCCACAUUAAGCUGUUUGAUUACUGUGGUCCUCUAUGCAUAGUAAAUAAUAAUGAGCAUCAAUACCGCCCUAUUAAAACUAUAUAUAUUAUCACGAGCGUCAACGGAAUUCAUAAAAAUGGUAGUGUUGGACAUAAUGCACACGAUAUUUUUCCAGUGUAAUGUGAAAUGUCAUUUCGCACUAUUAUUGUUUGAUGUAUUGUGAAAACAUCGUAUCGUAACCCCAUGCCUCUAAGUAAUAAUUGCCCCCGUGUAAGUCUACGACAAGGAGAUUGCAUUCAACUUGCACACUGUUGCAGGUAUGAGUGAUGGAGAAAUAAUAAAUGUUAAACCCAACUGUAUAUUUGCCAACUCUCUCAGGGCCAACAGUGGGUCCAUGACCACCCGCUCAAAAUCUCUGCACCCACAACCCCUGCACUUGUAACGAGCGUCGUGUCACAUCCUUCAAGACAGUCGUCGGGGACUAGAGCCAAUAAAGAAAAGUUGUGUGCAGCCUGAAUUUAUUUUUAACCCGUAGCAAACUUGUGCACGUUGCUAGUAUUUUACUCUCCAUAUAUCUCUAAGUAAACAAAUAACGACAGAAGGAUGUAUUUAAGUGUAUACGUUUAAGCAUUGGUUUUCAAGAAAAUUUCCCUCCCCCCUAAUGCAUGAUGCAGGGUCACGAUUCUAUUUAAGGUACACAAUGCAGUAGAUUAUAUUAUUUGAGAUGUGGUUGGGUGAUUCAGAGUAUUGGUUGUCACCGCUGAGAUUCUGGGUUCAAAUCAGGCUCUUGUAUGAUUAAACGGUUCUCAAGUGUAGUGAGUUGAUGGUCUCAAUGACUGCACAACAAAAUUCCAGCUCAGAAUUAAAUGUCAGUGUGACUGUCAUGUGCAAAUAUUACUCUCAUAUGCAGAGUGGGUGGAAGAGUGUUUCCCUCUACUGUGUGAACCAGAGGUCGAUUGAAGGGAUCUCAGAGUUAGAUCUGUGAUAUCCGCUUACUUUGGCUGUUCUCUUCACGGCAACAGGAAGAGUUUCACUGCUCUGUGAGAGAUCCAGAUGGAUGCUUUGUCCUGGACAUGAUAACGAUAACACACCGGGGAUAGGGGAUAAAAGUGGAGAAAAAUACAAAUGCUAUUUUUUAAAUAGAUGUAUAUUGUUUAACAUUUAAUGUAAAGUUUACGUACGCUAUGUUGCCAGUUCAGUUAAGGCCACGAUUAAGGCAGUAACUAUAUAAUGCAUGUUAGUUAGCUACCAUGGUUAUUAUCAUCAGCUUAAUACUAUAUGCUCGGAUGGGAGGGUCUGAGAUUCCAAUGUGGCUUCAGUUCCCACGUUCCCUAAGCUUAUGUUUUUUUUCAUUUGCAUUUAAUGGAUAGGUUAAUGCCCAUAACCUUAAAUACAUGAUUGCAAGUGCAGGUUAAGAACACAGCCAAAGUAAGGACAUUUUUUUUCACCCUUCAUUGAAUGUUUAAUUUAGUUGUGAAGUUUAUAUUUAAGAUAGCUGUUAGGAUGAUACCUUGCUAACCCAUGGUAAGAAAAUGGCUCUUAAUGCAGUUCUGUAUAUACAAGUUGAAACAGUAAAACAAACGUUGAAUCUGGUGUGGUUCAGCAAAAUUAAUGCUGGCACUAACUUCGUGGUAUUUUUCUGCAGUUGUUUUGAUGAUAAAAAAGUUAAUAUUAACCUAACCUAUAAUUAGUGUGGCAUGCAUCCAGUUGCUAAUACUGUGUACCUAAAGGUUUUUGCAAUGGUGUGAUACGAUUUCUGCUCUUCUGCAUAUAUUUUUUUAUUUUUUUAUUUAGAGUUAAAAUAUGCAUUCCGUAAUUUAAACUUCACAAUAAAUUUCUCAAGUACUCUUCUCUCAGCUUUUGAGUGCAGGGGAAUAGCACCAGACUAUAUUUUGUAUGAAUGCUAAGAAGUGAUAGCAAAAGUUUACUCAACCAUCCGCUAAAAGUUUUGGAAUACGGUACAUUGCAUGCUAUCGAUGCUACCUUAAUAUAACUUUCUUUGAUAUUUCGAGCCUACAUAUUUAUGUAGGUAGGAAAAUAAAAUUCAAAAUUAAGUAAAUAUUGCAGUCACAUGUUAACAUUUGCCUUAUUUAAGUUAAGUGCAAAUGCAUCUUUUUUUUACAAACGAUUUUACCAUAAAAUUUAAGAAAGGAUAGGUAGCGUGCACAUAUUUGUGUGCAGCCCGUAGCGUGCACAUAUUUGUGUGCAGCCCUCAUCAAUCCACUGCUGAAUUAGGACCUCACAACGUGCGGCUUGUGGGAGUUACUUUACCAUACUUAUAGGUGUUAUAUAAUUUCGCGUCAAAAUAGGACCCAUUUCUUAAAGUGAGGGUCCUUGCCUAUAACAUCUGACAGUUUUACCAGAAUUGAUUCAAGUAAGCUUGAUGAGACAUUGUCCAAACCAGUCCAGGGUUUGCUUCUACUGAAUCCAUUCUGCUGAAAUUGUGCACUCCCAGAAGGCUGUUGGGCCGGUGGGUUGUGUAAUAAAUAUUUGGUAUGUUUUGAGACAGAUAUAUGACGGAGACAUUGCUUGCCUCUUUGUUUUUCAAAUUAUAGCACAAGAGACACGAUAGCAGUUUAUUACAGUGUUGUCUUGUAGUUUAAUGUCUAUUUGUUUAGUGUUUAUUAUGGUGGUGCUAGAACUAUUCUAAAAUUUAACACUGUUGUCAACAUUUACUAAUUCUUUUAAUUUUAAUUACCAGUGAUUUGUAGGUUGAUAUUGCUACCUCUAGAUAUACUUUUUUAAUUAUGCAGUACAAAUACAAGCUCCUAAGUCUGCUCCGAGGAAUAAAAUGAAAGACUUCUGAGAUCACUGUUUUGUUUUUUGUUGUCGUUUGUAAACUAUAAAAAUUGUUCUGGCAACAAAUGGGAUUAGAAACACAUUCUCUACCCUAUGAGAUUGUAGAUAAUUAACCUGGCUGCCAAGUUGAACAGGCUUGAUUUUUAAGCAGGUCUUGCAUUCAGUAGGAAACUCUAAAGCUUGUUUACAACAAUUGCAUCAAGCCCAGAUUGUAAUGUUAUUAGUUGCAUGAAUAAGAUGGAGAAUGCCUUUUUGUUUACGGAAAUAGAGGGCUUGGCUAAACAGUUUUCAAUGUUAUAUUGCUGAAUUGACUGCUGAUGGCUAUCCUAUAGUUAAGUCGCUUAAAUUAUUGCCAAUAUACAGUGUAGACGUGCCUUGCGCAAAUGUGUACGCUGCUUUAUUCUGCCGAAUACAAUUCAUGGCUAUGCAUUCAAGAAAAUGGGCAUAUUGAUUACUUGUGAAGCAUGAUACUUUUAAAAGCAAAGCGACUCCAUGUUCUGUUCCAGAACAUGGAGUCGAUUUUAAAAGUAGAUUAGACUAUACAUAAAAAAUCACAUUGUACACGUUUUAAUGGUUUUAAAUAGACAGAAAGAGACUAAAGGAUGUGCGCUGUCUAAAGAAUAUUUUUGUCACCUUCAGCUGUGUUCCGAACAUCCACUGCUCGGUGGAGGCAUCCCCCAAGUCACGUAUACUCUUGUAAAUGGAGUCACAUGUGAUUGGGUACAUUUUGAGAAUCUAUAGACGUCAGUGGUGUGUUUUACAGGAAGAAUAAUUACAUAAAAAGACAUCUGUAAUGAAUGGCGCAUCCCGUAUCUCGUACCCUGCACAUGUUUGGGCCACCGCAGCCUCUGCUUUGUCUGUGAGUGCAUUGAUGUUCGCUACUGCUGAAAGAACUUGGAAUCUAAUCAUCAUUGUGCAUUGCUAAACUUAACUUUGUCUUUUGGGAAAAUAAACACUUGUACAUGUUUUAACGAUGAGUGUUUUAGCUGCUUUCGUGUUACCAUGCUUCUUGGGAAUAAUCAUGAUAGUCAUGAUUUUGGUAUAUAUAUGGUGCUUAAAUUCCCUGAACAACUCAAUGCGCCUUACAUAACGUCUCAUCUCAACACACUUGAAGGCCACCCUCAGUGGCAGCUGUCCCCGUGUGGCACAAGGUGACUCAGCACUAGCCUGCAAAUGGGCAUUCAUCUGUUAGUAGGGGACCAUGAUUUUUGCAUGUAAUACCAAUUGAAUAAUUUUCUGGUAAUUUAUUGGAAUUUGGCAAAUUUGCAUCAUCACACGAUGCCCGACUCAUUUCGAAUAACCUCUAUUGUGAAGCUGUCUGUACAUAUUUUUCAUACAGCUAAUACAUCCGCAAUAAUAACCAUGGUGACCUGCUGGAUACUAACCGUGAAUCUCUGUAACAGCGUGUACAACAUUCUUUGGUACGUGUCGUGACGGGUACUGCAAGAUCCGACCAUGUCCGCCCAGUGCUCGCUGAGCUGCAUUGGCUUCUGGUUGCCAAACGAAUACAUUAUAAGGUCGCACUCAUUACACACAAAGUGCUUGCUAUAAAUGAAACACAAUACCUUGCUGAUCUCGUCAAGGAGCAUAAACCAUCAUGCACACUGCGGUCAUUCUUGUAGCUGCUUUUGGUUAAACAUCGGAAAAGAUGGCCACUGCAUCGUGCGCUUUCAGAUGUGCUUCUCCAGCCAUCUGGAGCACGCUUCCUUCUGAAAUUAGGAAGUCACGUGAAGCGAUGCACUUCUAAAUCUAGAUUGAAAACCCAUUUAUUAAGAACUGAUUUUUGUGUGUAGUUUGUUGUUCUUCCCCGGUACCUCUGAUUUACAUGGUUGGCUACGUACGGUGUGAAAGAAUAUCAACGUAUAUUUUUUCCAAUAAGCGCUAAAUGCGCUCAUUACUGCUGGGCGCUGUCACCACCUCCUAAAGCAUUUUCUGGAAGUCCUUUAACUCAUGGUAAAUUGCCCAAUCCAUGGAGUGGGAGUAUAAUGAAUUGGACGAGUAUAAAGUCAACCUUGGUAAGUGUUUGGUUACUUGUUGUCACUGAGAAGCUUUGGUUGCUUUAGCAAUGUAAUCAGGCGAAUAAGUGUGUUAUGCUCGGUAAGUUCCUUGACAUUGGUUUUAGCAAGAUUUUGAUUUGCACUGGAACUGUCGAACUUGACGUCACGGCACCCAUGGAAACGGUUUGCUUGAAGCAUCACAGGAAUGCUGUGUUUAAAACAAAAGUGUUUAUUAUCAAUCCUUCAAUGAGUACAUCCAGUAUACAAGGAGUGGAAAAGUUCACCUCAUUUUAUUGAACACAUUUGCAUUUGUUCGUCAUAAUUGAAAUGCUUAAUUGAAAAUGGUUAAAAUUUUUAAAGUUCACCAUCAAAUUAUCAAAUCACCUUUAUUUACACCAAAUAUUAAUACUACAUAAAAUAAAGCCAUUGUUGAAUUUGAAAUGUAGCCAGUGCUCAGUGCUGUAAGAUUUGGAGGCCCAAUUAUUAAAGUAUUUUAUGGCCGGAGAGACCUGCUAUAGCUGAACACUAAGUUUCUUCAACCAAUCCAAGGAGGCAGUAGACGCUAUUCAUUACACAAUCAUUUAGGUAAAUUGGAGUCUCUCCUCAGUUCAUAUGAGAUGUGAACGUAUCAUUUAAAAAUUAUAUUAAAAUUACAAGUUGAAACGUACUCAUGAUGCAAGACUGGGCAUGUUCUACACCAAUUUGUUGGAAGAUCAAAGUCACAAAAAUGAAUGGGAGUUUCUGUGGAAAAUUAUACCAUGACCAAGUAUAAAACUAAAUGACGAGUUGGUUUUCUAGUAAUUGAAUGCACUUAUUUGUCAGUCAUGGCCCUAUAGGUGGAAGGUAAAUGUGCUGCAGAUGAACUCUUGUGAACUCCAUGAGGCUAUAUUGACCUAUUUUUUUAUGCUGGCCAAACGUUUAGGAAAAAUUUAGAGUACCCUUACCACCACACUUGACCUGCCAAUUGACUAAACGUGGUGUACCCAUUUAUACUGCUUGGUGGACAGAGGUGUGAGGAUUUGAGAAAUUAGCCCCUUUUUUUACUUGACAUGCCAAGAGAUCAAACUGGUGACACUCUGGAUUGCAAGUCCAGUGAGCUAACCAUUACACCAUGGCAUAAUUCUGUCAUGGCUUUAUAAGCCUGUUUCUUUAUAUAAAUCUCCUAAACACAACAAGGAUAGCUUUUAGUGCAUUUCCACUUGGCCAGUCCAUGAUGCGAUGAGAUGCUUCAUAACAUCUCGGGGUUACAGUUACACCACACUGUUUCUCUUGACGGGGCAGCAGCAUUCAUCCAUUUUCACUACCUCUGACAAGUCCAAUGCAGCGAGUUUGUUUAUCACCUAGACAUGCAUCCGAUUCAAAUCUUCUAAAGAGUCACUUUCAUAAAAUCUCUGCCAACUGGCUGCAGGGAUGCAGGGAUUACAAACCUAUGAUCACUUUCAAGCUAGUUUCAUUGCUCUUUCAUUUAAAGAUAUAACGGAUAAUUAUCAUCAGAGUGCUUCAACAUGAUGUGAACCACAUUUACAAAACUAUUCUUUUUCAAUAAAUACCGCAUUAAAAUACUGUAACGUUACGUAAUUUGCAUAAUGACAUUGUUCACCACACUCAUUACAUUACUGCUGCUUUUUUUGUAUGUAGUUCACUAAACAAUCUUACUGACCCACAUAGUUUGUUGAAAUUCACUUCUAUAGAUGGAACACACGACAUAGCGCAUCUCAGUCUAACAUCAUUAUUUACUGAUGGAAUGAAUUGCAAUUAGCAUUAGGAUCUUUCAUCGAAUGGUUUGGCAGUUUGUUAAACCACCACGACUGUUUGUAGGUUUUCACGAUUGUCCAGUGUAGCUCAUCGGGUUGUUUGGUGUGAUGUCUGAUAUUUCACUCCACAUGCUGAGAGCGUAAGUGUGCUGAGCGAAACGUUGGACGUCGCCCCGUGCAACCCCACGGUACUACCCAAAAACACACCAGAGAGUUGAUUUUUUUAAGCUGCCUCUUCAAAUCACGUUAUAUUGAAUUUCAUAUUAUGAUAGGUUUGUGGCUUGUAAUUCUUCUGUCAAGAUAGAGUCAUAAACGGUUCCAACUCUGUAUGGUUGAAGCAUGAUUUCUAAAGAUUGAAACCCAAAAUCUGUUAACAUUUUGCAUCACAUUCUUACAUAAAAAAAAUCGAGUGAAAUGCAUUUUUCUUUCGGUGGCCUUUAUCCCAAAGUUAUUCCCCUGAUGAAAAGCUUGUCAUGGGUUGCUGUGUGCAGAAAUUGCACAAGUGGAAAGAAUAUUGUAGAAAAAAAAA
Molecule: non-coding RNA, 17278 nt
Organism: Petromyzon marinus (sea lamprey)
Lineage: Eukaryota; Metazoa; Chordata; Hyperoartia; Petromyzontiformes; Petromyzontidae
Source: RefSeq, a predicted model, not a curated record